RNAcentral lists this long non-coding RNA (4912 nucleotides) under Gossypium barbadense (sea-island cotton). RNAcentral's name for it is "long non-coding RNA (GBAR_LNC012007)". Lineage: Eukaryota; Viridiplantae; Streptophyta; Magnoliopsida; Malvales; Malvaceae. The record is from RNAcentral.
AAAAACGCCGCAAAAAAUUGAGAUACACUUUCCAUAUAAACGCUUGUUUUAUUUUCAUCCCCUCCCCUAAAUCCCCAAUUUUGCGCUGCUAAAAACCCUGAUUCUAUUCCCUUUGUUUUCAUCGAUCAAAAUCCCCUUCUCAUAAAUUUUCUCUCUUGAUGGAAGAGACGCGAUGUGCAAUUUGACUGUUCCAAUUUCCUUUUCAAUGUUCAAUUAAAACCCUAGCCUCUUCCUUUUGCUUCUAUCGGGGGGGGGGGGAAGGAAUCAUGUCUUUCGAUCUCAUAUGCUGAAGCCGUCCUGCAGCUGCUUUGGAUCCUCCCAAGAUCUGUACGGUUGAGGACCAAAAGAAGAAAGAUGAUGACGAUUUGGUGAGUGGCUGUUCGGGAUUUCGCCCUCGGUGGUUCUCUACACCGCAAAUCCGUACGCUCUUCCCUUUUUUUUAUUUUAUUUCCUUUUGAAAAAUAAAUUUUUAAAUCUAUAUUCAAAUCUUAAUUCUUUUUAUUCUAAUAUAAAUUAUUUAAUUUCUUGUUUAUCUUCGUCUUCAAUUUUGGUGUACGUAUAUAAAAUUAUUAUGGAUUUCUCUUUAUUUUAAAUUUUUUUUAUCUUUGGUGCUUUAGUUUCAGUAAUUGAUUUACAGUUCUUAUUAAAUUCAAUGGCGUUUUUAAUUGCUUGUUCCUUCGAUUAGUUUGUUUGAUUUAGUUAAGGUUUGAUCUCUUUUAUGUUAUAAGUUUCGAUAAUUUUGCCAUUUAAGUUAUUAACGGACCUUUCUAGUCUUAGAUAUCUUGUAUUUUAAAGUUGAAUUUGUAAUUGUAACUACGAAUUUUGCAUUGAAUGAGAUCCAUCUUAUAAUUUUCAUUUCAAUUCGAGCACUGAAUGUUGAUUAUUCAUUUUAUUGCAGGAAUCAUUUCAACUUUUACCGUAUUCCCCGAAGCUUUUGAAUGGUUAUGUCCUGAGAAUCAGAUUGAUUAUGUCCUGUUAUUUGCCUAGGGCUUCCUUUAUAUGUCAAGAUCAUUCGUAUAGAAUAUAUGUCAUGGUUGUGCAUUUCCUUUUUGCUUACUAUAAUAACAAGAAUAUUAACUUUGAAAAAUAACCUUUUGUCCUAUUUAUAUGUAGUAUUGGCUAUACCAUGCUUAUGGAAGGUGGUAAAUAAACUCAGCUUGAAUGAACAGCUUUUAUUGAUGUUUGCUAGUUUAUUUUUAAGUUUGAUUGUGUUUGUUAAGAAUUCCAAAGUUGCACUUGUUUUUGUAUGUUUGUGUUCAUUCGUUUAAAUAAAUGAACUUAUUCGUGAACUUAAUAUAAGUAAAUAUGUCGACAAACAAUUAAAAAUCUGUUCAUGAAUAGUAAAUUGACAAACCAUAAAUAAACAUAUUUCUUAUUAUUUAGAUAUGAAAUAAUCAAAUAUAAAUAUUAUUUUAUUUUAUUAUAAUCAAACAAUAAACAAGUUCUCAGUAAAGCGACUAAUAGUUUAGUUCGUCUUUUGUAGAUGCUAUUCACGUCUUUGCUCGCCUUUGCGAUUGCUCUUUCAGCCUCUUCUCACAAUCCCUGAAGGUAUUCCCAACUUUUAUUUCUAUUUUGCUUUUGAUUGUUCGCUUAUGCUUGAAAUUUCUGUCUUUGAAUAUGAAAUUUUGAAUAUUACUCAGAUAUUAGCAACAUAUCUUAACUGACCAAAUGUAGUAUAAAGAUUUCUGUAUUAAGAGUUGAAUUAUAUUUUGUGUCUUUUAUUUAAAAAAUAGAUAAAUUAAUUUCUAUUAAAAAUUUCAUUUAUUUCUACCAUUAAAACUGUCGUGGAUGAUGAAAUAACCAGACAGUUACCGGUAGCAUAUAAGGACCCGUUUUUAAUAGUAAAAAUGUACAAAAUUCUUAAUUAAAAUAUCAAUUUACUUUUUAAUCUAAUAUAUAAAAAUCAAUUUACGGAUAGUUUGUUGGUAACAUUUAUGGCUGAUCCGGAUGCCAUCAUUAUUCCUUUCUAAGUGCCAAUAAGAAAUCAGAGCCAGCAGGGGAUGGUUGAUUAAUUUCAGUUCCAUGGUCAGCCUUUGCUACUUGAUUUGACCUAUGCCAAAGCUACUUUCGUGCUCCAAAUGCAAAAUUGAAUGUUUAUAGAUAAAAGUUACAGACUACUUCUAAGUUCUAACCAUGCCAUGCUGAAAUCUUGUGUUAAUAUUAGUCUUGUCAGGGCAUGCUAGUUUUGAAAAAAGUCAAAUUAAAUUAAAAGUUUUGAACUUUUUCUAUGAAUCGAUCAAUUUUGAAUUUCAAUUAUAUAGUUUAUGAGUUGAAUCACAUCAUUUUAUUUUCAAAUUCAAGCUGUUGGUUUUUAAUGAACAAAUCAAAUUAAAUUAAUUCAAAUUUAGAUUUGUUGAUACCAAGUUAAGAUUAUGGUAGCUAAUGACAGUUCCCUCACUAAAUGGGCAAAUAGCUGUAAGAUAUGUUGCUAAUAUUCAAAUUAUAAGAUAGCUGAAAAUUUGACAUGGUCCUGAAAUUCAAUUUAUAAUUUGUUGCUAAUAUUCUUUAAUUUUUAGCUGAAUUAAUUGACCAAAUUCGAUUUGUUGGUUAACCAUAAAAAAUUCAGUUUGGUUAACAGAAGAGAUUUUGAGAAAAUUUGAUAUUUGAAUGUUAUUUUGGUUAUUAGUUAGGAUUAAUCCUGUUAAGUUUUUAUACCUUCAUUUUAUUUGUUUUGAACUUUUAGUAUGUGUUAAUUUAACAUCUGAUGGUGAUUAAUAUCUUUAUUGUAUUGUGCUUCUAGAUUUUGAUUUGUUCUGAUAUUUUGGUUGGAUACAUGUAUGUGUUCUUUUAUAAAAUUUUCUUGUGUAAAAAUAUAUUACUUUUAUGUUUUGGAAUCUAUCCUUCAUGUUGCGGUGGAUUGAUAAUUAUGUGUGGGUUUUUUGGGUCUUCCAAAUAAGUUCCGUGUUAUUUCAACUCGUGAAUUUAAGUUCUGUGCUAUAUCAACUCGUGAAUUUUGAUCAUGAUGUCAACAAAAGUAUUGGUGUCCAAAUAAUUGCAUCCAUCGGGAAAAUACAGUUGAUGAAAAUAGGAGGUACAUGUGUAAUUUUGAUAUAGAUUCUAGGGUAUUGGUGAAUUAUUUUUUACCCUUUUUCUUAUAGAUAAUUUAUAAAUGCUUUAACUUUUGUUCCUGUUUGACAUUGAAGGCCUACUUUAUAUUGGAUGAACUCUUGAUUGCCGGUGAACUUCUUUAUGUUUGUCCGAAUUUGACUCAAUCCAAAUUAUAGGUUUAAAAUUUUAUUCAAUUCUAUUUCAUAUUUUUAAAUGAUUAACUUAAUCUCGUUUUAGACUUAUUCAGAUUUAUAAAGAAAUAUAUUUUUAGUUUAAUAUUUAAUAUUUUAGAUUUUUAUUAAAAUUUUAAAUAUAGCCAAUAUAUUUUUCAUAUAUGUUACUUUAUUUGCAGGUUAAUAGCUUUCCAGUAUUGGGUUUAAAAAGCUUUAUAAAUGCUUGAUGAAUAUUUUCCUGCAGGUAUUUCUUUUUACUCAUUUUUAAUCCCAUGCUGUAUUUGAUUUAUGCUGGACAUGUUUUGUUGCUAAAUUACUUAACUUAUUUCUAUGCAUUUUUGCUUUAACUUACUUAAGAAAUACAAUUUUUUUUACUCCAGCCUCUGUUUGCUUGUUGAAAUUAUUAAUGUACGUUUUAGUUCAAAAUUUGCAUAAAUAAUAGUUUCAUCAUGAUGAUUUUGAAAAAAAUCAUUUUACUUAGAUAUAUGAUUUGGUAUGAAGUAAUGAUGAGUAUGGUUUAUAAUUAGCUCAUCUUGGUAAGAUUGUUAAUUGGUAUAAUAUGCAUUUGUGGUUGUUAUAAUUCGGCUCAAGUGAAUUAAGUAUGGUUGUUGGAUGUGUUUUGGGUAUGGUUUAUUAUUGAAUUACAUUUUGACUGUAAUUUGUUUAUUUAUUAGUUUGGGAAAUGGCAGUGAUGAGCUGUUAUAUUUGGUUGAUGAUAGAUAAAUGAAUACAUAUGUACUUAUGUCAUGAAUUUUGGUGAUUUGGGAUGUAAAGGUCAAAUUGUUAUAUAUAUAUGUUAUUGUAUGUUCGGCUAUGAUAUUUGACUAUUUAUGUUUGGUUUACGAUGGCAAGAAUGAAUAUGUUUUAACUGUUAUAUUGAAGUCAUAUUAAAUGACCGAAUAUAUAUAAAUUGAUUUACUUGUGUAUAUGAAAUUUCAGCAUGAUUUAUAGCAUAUGAAAUUGACAUGUUUUGAUUUGGCUAAAUGACAUGAAAAAUGAUUAAUGUUAGUCAAGUGAGCAAUGUAUGAAUUGGUUAUGUUGCAAGCGAAAUUUGGUUAUUUAGAUAUGCUUGUAUGUGAUUGUAAAAUUUUGCUUACUUAACCAUGAGGUAUAGUUCAGAUACAAGCUAGCACAGAUGAGCAAAUUUCUCAACUUAGAGCGAAGGCAGCAGCGAGGGAGGCAGAGGCAGCAGCGAGGGAGGCGGAGCAGAACAGAAAAUACAAUAAACUCUAGCUACAGCUUCAGUCCAUGAUGACUAUGUUCCAGCAAUUUCAAAAUCCGCCAUCUUAAACAUUUGUUUUAUUGUAACUUUUAACAUUAUUUUAAGAAUAUUUUGAAUAUUCAUUUACAAUUUAUAUAAUAUAUUUUUCGUAUAAUUUUGUAUUAUUUAAAUUUGCGGGUUUUGGUUGGAUUUCAUUGUACAUUUGUUGUUUUUGGUUGAGUUUCUUGCAGGAGGGUUGGAUAUGGGUGGAAAAACAUAUAUAGCAAAAUUGGGCAACUUAGCGGCGUUUUUUAAAAAAGUGCCGCGAAAGGACCUGAUCUUUAGUGGCGUUUUUAUAAAAGCACCGCAAAAAGUCCUGGUCUUUAACGGCGUUUUUUAAAAAAGCGCCGCGAAAGGUCCUGGUCUUUAGCGGCGUUUUUUCCUAAAAACGCCACGAAUUUUUAUGGCGGUGUAUAUAGCGACGUUUUUU